RNAcentral lists this small RNA (177 nucleotides) under Choloepus hoffmanni (Hoffmann's two-fingered sloth). RNAcentral describes it as "Nuclear RNase P (ENSCHOG00000015671.1)". The record is from RNAcentral. Lineage: Eukaryota; Metazoa; Chordata; Mammalia; Pilosa; Megalonychidae.
UCUGAGACUAGGGCCAGAAGCAGCUCCAUCAGGGACCUCCCUGAGCUUCUAGGAAGCAAGUCUCCAGAGAACGGGGUUACCUGUGAGGAUUUAACUGAACAAUCCUUUGCUAAAAAAGUUGUGCUUGAACCUGGGUCCAGUCAGCCAUUUCAGUGCAAGUCAGGAUUAGAAAUACAG